UAAUUUAUUGUGAUAUAAUGUUCUAUAGGAUAAUUUUAUUUACUAAUUGAUCGGUGUGUUAGCGUAUGACAUUAUUUUUGCUAUUAUAGUGAUUUUUUAUGUUUUUAUUUUUUAUUUUUUAAGUUCACUAAUUUGUUACUAUGAUAUAUUUUCCUGUAGUGUAUUUUUAGUAGUUAUCAAUCGAUGUGCUCAACGUAUGAUUAUAUUAUAGUCAUUUAUUUGUAUUUUUUUUAAUUUUUACAUUAAUUUCACAAUUGUUAUGAUUUUUUUCAUUAACUUGUACUUUUAUAAAAUAAUCAGAGAAUGUAACUAACGUAUGAAAUUAUUCUAACCAUUUUUGCUAUUCCUUCAUAUUUUAUAUUUUUUAUUUAGUUGCUCUUAAUUUUUUAACUUAUUAACUUAUAAUUAUUUUAAUAUUUAUUAAUUUAAGCAAAUAAUUAUUCAAUUCAAUAAAAAUGGAUCCACAUAUUAUUAUCUUAAAAAUAUUUGUAAAU
RNAcentral lists this long non-coding RNA (494 nucleotides) under Salvia miltiorrhiza (redroot sage). RNAcentral describes it as "long non-coding RNA (SMIL_LNC000062)". Lineage: Eukaryota; Viridiplantae; Streptophyta; Magnoliopsida; Lamiales; Lamiaceae. The record is from RNAcentral.